GAAUGUGCAGGCAGUCUGCCUACCACAUCUGUAACCCCUCUGAUCGCCAGGGUUGAUUUGAUUGAUGUGGCUGGCUAGGCAAGCGUUCUCUUCCUCCCUCGCUGCUCCAUGCAUGUCCCUGCUGAAGCUGUGAUCUUGUUCCAAGAGGAAAAUGUUCCCUGGUAGAGAAGGAGAAGUCUUUGAUCAAGAAUAUAUGAGCCGCAGCUCUCUCCUGCCACAACCUCCAAAGAAAAUCUUACAGACUGAAGAGACGGCUCAGUAGUUAAGAGUUUAUGCUGACUUUCCAGUGGAGCCGGUUCAAUU
This 303-nucleotide small nuclear RNA is filed under the name Peromyscus maniculatus bairdii (prairie deer mouse). RNAcentral's name for it is "7SK RNA (ENSPEMG00000002196.2)". It matches the Rfam family "7SK RNA". From Rfam's summary of the family: 7SK was discovered as an abundant small nuclear RNA in the mid-70s but a possible function has only recently been suggested. Two independent studies have found that 7SK RNA binds the CDK9/cyclin T complex (known as elongation factor P-TEFb). The record is from Rfam by way of RNAcentral. Lineage: Eukaryota; Metazoa; Chordata; Mammalia; Rodentia; Cricetidae.